Molecule: ribosomal RNA, 201 nt
Filed under: Clostridioides difficile CD9
Lineage: Bacteria; Bacillati; Bacillota; Clostridia; Peptostreptococcales; Peptostreptococcaceae
Description: partial 16S ribosomal RNA
Rfam family: Bacterial small subunit ribosomal RNA
Source: RNAcentral
AGAGUUUGAUCCUGGCUCAGGAUGAACGCUGGCGGCGUGCCUAACACAUGCAAGUUGAGCGAUUUACUUCGGUAAAGAGCGGCGGACGGGUGAGUAACGCGUGGGUAACCUACCCUGUACACACGGAUAACAUACCGAAAGGUAUGCUAAUACGGGAUAAUAUAUUUGAGAGGCAUCUCUUGAAUAUCAAAGGUGAGCCAG